RNAcentral lists this ribosomal RNA (497 nucleotides) under uncultured bacterium. RNAcentral's name for it is "partial 16S ribosomal RNA". It matches the Rfam family "Bacterial small subunit ribosomal RNA", at positions 28 to 507 of the family's 1533-position model. The record is from RNAcentral.
GAUGAACGCUGGCGGCGUGCCUAAUACAUGCAGGUCGAGCGAACAGACGAGGAGCUUGCUCCUCUGACGUUAGCGGCGGACGGGUGAGUAACACGUGGAUAACCUACCUAUAAGACUGGGAUAAUUUCGGGAAACCGGAGCUAAUACCGGAUAAUAUAUUGAACCGCAUGGUUCAAUAGUGAAAGACGGUUUUGCUGUCACUUAUAGAUGGAUCCGCGCCGCAUUAGCUAGUUGGUAAGGUAACGGCUUACCAAGGCAACGAUGCGUAGCCGACCUGAGAGGGUGAUCGGCCACACUGGAACUGAGACACGGUCCAGACUCCUACGGGAGGCAGCAGUAGGGAAUCUUCCGCAAUGGGCGAAAGCUUGACGGAGCAACGCCGCGUGAGUGAUGAAGGUCUUCGGAUCGUAAAACUCUGUUAUUAGGGAAGAACAAAUGUGUAAGUAACUAUGCACGUCUUGACGGUACCUAAUCAGAAAGCCACGGCUAACUACGUG